AUCCAAAAGACUCUCGGCAACGGAUAUCUCGGCUCUUGCAUCGAUGAAGAACGCAGCAA
This 59-nucleotide ribosomal RNA is filed under the name Cadia pedicellata. RNAcentral's name for it is "partial 5.8S ribosomal RNA". The stretch from base 9 to 59 matches the Rfam family "5.8S ribosomal RNA", at positions 1 to 51 of the family's 154-position model. Rfam says of the family: 5.8S ribosomal RNA (5.8S rRNA) is a component of the large subunit of the eukaryotic ribosome. It is transcribed by RNA polymerase I as part of the 45S precursor that also contains 18S and 28S rRNA. Lineage: Eukaryota; Viridiplantae; Streptophyta; Magnoliopsida; Fabales; Fabaceae. RNAcentral also lists the same sequence under 1 other name. The record is from RNAcentral.